Molecule: ribosomal RNA, 460 nt
Filed under: uncultured bacterium
Lineage: Bacteria
Description: partial 16S ribosomal RNA
Rfam family: Bacterial small subunit ribosomal RNA
Source: RNAcentral
CCUACGGGUGACAGCAGUGAGGAAUAUUGGUCAAUGGACGCAAGUCUGAACCAGCCAUGCCGCGUGCAGGAAGACGGCUCUAUGAGUUGUAAACUGCUUUUGUACGAGGGUAAACGCAGAUACGCGUAUCUUUCUGAAAGUAUCGUACGAAUAAGGAUCGGCUAACUCCGUGCCAGCAGCCGCGGUAAUACGGAGGAUUCAAGCGUUAUCCGGAUUUAUUGGGUUUAAAGGGUGCGUAGACGGUCGGAUAAGUUAGAGGUGAAAUCCCGAGGCUCAACUUCGGAAUUGCCUCUGAUACUGUUCGGCUAGAGAGCAGUUGCGGUAGGCGGAAUGUAUGGUGUAGCGGUGAAAUGCUUAGAGAUCACACAGAACACCGAUUGCGAAGGCAGCUUACCAAGCUACUUCUGACGUUGAGGCACGAAAGCGUGGGGAGCAAACAGGAUUAGAUACCCUGGUAGUC